UACGGAGGAUGCGAGCGUUAUCCGGAUUUAUUGGGUUUAAAGGGUGCGUAGGCGGAAUGCCAAGUCAGCGGUAAAAUCGCGGGGCUCAACCUCGCUCCGCCGUUGAAACUGGCGUUCUUGAGUGGGCGAGAAGUAUGCGGAAUGCGUGUGUAGCGGUGAAAUGCAUAGAUAUCACGCAGAACUCCGAUUGCGAAGGCAGCAUACCGGCGCCCAACUGACGCUGAAGCACGAA
RNAcentral lists this ribosomal RNA (232 nucleotides) under uncultured bacterium. RNAcentral describes it as "partial 16S ribosomal RNA". It matches the Rfam family "Bacterial small subunit ribosomal RNA", at positions 524 to 757 of the family's 1533-position model. The record is from RNAcentral.